This is a non-coding RNA of Mycena polygramma, 95 nucleotides long. Lineage: Eukaryota; Fungi; Basidiomycota; Agaricomycetes; Agaricales; Mycenaceae. The record is from the annotation of a GenBank genome assembly.
UCGGACGUGGUGCGCGGUGCACGCCCGCUGUAAAUGCUGCCAACUUCGUAAACUUCGCUAAGCGGGAAGCCUGGGUUCGACUCCCAGCGACCGAG